AGUGAACGCUGGCGGUAGGCCUAACACAUGCAAGUCGAACGGCAGCACAGUAAGAGCUUGCUCUUACGGGUGGCGAGUGGCGGACGGGUGAGGAAUACAUCGGAAUCUACUUUUUCGUGGGGGAUAACGUAGGGAAACUUACGCUAAUACCGCAUACGACCUACGGGUGAAAGCAGGGGAUCUUCGGACCUUGCGCGAUUGAAUGAGCCGAUGUCGGAUUAGCUAGUUGGCGGGGUAAAGGCCCACCAAGGCGACGAUCCGUAGCUUGUCUGAGAGGAUGAUCAGCCACACUGGAACUGAGACACGGUCCAGACUCCUACGGGAGGCAGCAGUGGGGAAUAUUGCACAAUGGGCGCAAGCCUGAUCCAGCCACACCGCGUGGGUGAAGAAGGCCUUCGGGUUGUAAAGCCCUUUUGUUGGGAAAGAAAAGCAGCAGGUUAAUACCCGGAUGUUCUGACGGUACCCAAAGAAUAAGCACCGGCUAACUUCGUG
Molecule: ribosomal RNA, 492 nt
Filed under: uncultured bacterium
Lineage: Bacteria
Description: partial 16S ribosomal RNA
Rfam family: Bacterial small subunit ribosomal RNA
Source: RNAcentral